AGAGUUUGAUCCUGGCUCAGGACGAACGCUGGCGGCGUGCUUAACACAUGCAAGUCGAGCGAUGAAGCUCCUUCGGGAGUGGAUUAGCGGCGGACGGGUGAGUAACACGUGGGUAACCUACCUCAAAGAGGGGGAUAGCCUCCCGAAAGGGAGAUUAAUACCGCAUAAUAAUCAGUUUUCACAUGGAGACUGAUUUAAAGGAGUAAUCCGCUUUGAGAUGGACCCGCGGCGCAUUAGCUAGUUGGUAGGGUAACGGCCUACCAAGGCGACGAUGCGUAGCCGACCUGAGAGGGUGAUCGGCCACAUUGGAACUGAGAGACGGUCCAGACUCCUACGGGAGGCAGCAGUGGGGAAUAUUGCACAAUGGGCGAAAGCCUGAUGCAGCAACGCCGCGUGAGUGAAGAAGGUUUUCGGAUUGUAAAGCUCUGUCUUUGGGGACGAUAAUGACGGUACCCAAGGAGGAAGCCACGGCUAACUACGUGCCAGCAGCCGCGGUAAUACGUAGGUGGCGAGCGUUGUCCGGAAUUACUGGGCGUAAAGAGUGCGUAGGCGGAUAUUUAAGUGAGAUGUGAAAUACCCGGGCUUAACCCGGGCACUGCAUUUCAAACUGGAUAUCUAGAGUGCGGGAGAGGAGAAUGGAAUUCCUAGUGUAGCGGUGAAAUGCGUAGAGAUUAGGAAGAACACCAGUGGCGAAGGCGAUUCUCUGGACCGUAACUGACGCUGAGGCACGAAAGCGUGGGUAGCAAACAGGAUUAGAUACCCUGGUAGUCCACGCAGUAAACGAUGAAUACUAGCUGUAUGCGAUAGACAGUAUGCGGCGGAGCGAAAGCAUUAAGUAUUCCACCUGGGGAGUACGUCGGCAACGAUGAAACUCAAAGGAAUUGACGGGGGCCCGCACAAGCGGAGGAACAUGUGGUUUAAUUCGAUGAUACGCGAGGAACCUUACCCGGGCUUGAAUUGCAGACGAAUAAUGAGGAAACUUGUUAGCCAGCAAUGGCGUCUGUGAAGGUGCUGCAUGGUUGUCGUCAGCUCGUGCCGUGAGGUGUCGGCUUAAGUGCCAUAACGAGCGCAACCCUUAUCAUUAGUUACUAGCAGGUAAAGCUGAGGACUCUAGUGAGACUGCCGCCGUAAGGUGAGAGGAAGGGAGGGAUGACGUCAAAUCAGCACGGCCCUUAUGUCCGGGGCGACACACGUGUUACAAUGGGGGGUACAGAGGGGAGCUACCAUGCGAAUGGGAGCGAAUCCUUAAAAAGCCUCUCUCAGUUCGGAUUGGAGUCUGCAACUCGACUCCAUGAAGCUGGAUUCGCUAGUAAUCGCGCAUCAGCCAUGGCGCGGUGAAUACGUUCCCGGGCCUUGUACACACCGCCCGUCAAGCCAUGGGAGCCGGGGGUACCUGAAGUACGUGAUUCUGCGCAAGUGGGAAGCGUCCUAGGGUAAAACUGGUGACUGGGGCUAAGUCGUAACAAGGUAACC
Molecule: ribosomal RNA, 1473 nt
Filed under: uncultured bacterium
Lineage: Bacteria
Description: partial 16S ribosomal RNA
Rfam family: Bacterial small subunit ribosomal RNA
Source: RNAcentral